GCGUCUUGAUAAUAAUAUCUAUAGUUGAUGGGAAAGUGGGAAUCAUACAAUAUCCUGUAGUCAUAGCUUUCAUAAUGUUUCAUACGGAUAUUACCUCGAAUACAAGACUCAAAAGCUGCGGCUCGGGACGGUGACAACAAAAGGUUGUUAGAUGAUGUGCGCCAUCUGGCGGAAGCGUUCUGGGCGUGCGACGACCGAUUGUAAGCUCAGAUUGUAAGCUGUGUUUGUGUUGUGCUGGCAAGUCGGACAUAAAUAACAGUUGAUACGGCGUUAGUUACUCGAAUUAAGAGUCUCAAGUGAAAUCUCUUGCUUACGGGAUUCAAGAAAGACCUUACACAAGAUUCUCUAUACAUGUACAUCCUACAUGAAUUGGAAGCUAGAAUGCUUGUUGGAGUACUUCGGAUAAGCCAUCGUAAAGCAGCUGUAAGGACUGUCUCCUGACCCCUGGUGUACACGUUUGUACGUGGCUGAACACUUCAAACAUGUGCCCACGGGUUUUUGCAAUGCUCCGGUAUAACGCCUUAGCAUCUAAGUGGAUUUCAAAUUUAUAAUUGCACCUGGGGCGCGUGAGGGCAUUGGCGGUUGGAACUGGAAUGAAAUUCGUUUAAAGGUACGUGACGUAUAUAUAUAUAUACACGGCAUACUGCGUUGGAAAUGUUGUAGUUUAUACAGCGUCACUCAUUAUUGUGUACGUGAGAUUAAUUAGCAAACCAGUAUUUUUUAUCAACUAGCUAGUAAUGAUGAUGACAGGAAAAUCUGUGCACGCACGCACAUUUAUAUACAUUUCACUCAGUUUUUUUCCGAAUGGCAACAUUAGUUUAUGUUUACAAAAUCGGGUGUGCCUACACCAAAGUACAACGAUCAUAUAAAUAAAUAAAUAAAUAAAAAUAAAUAAAUAUAUACAUAUCA
Priapulus caudatus is the source of this 909-nucleotide long non-coding RNA. RefSeq lists it as uncharacterized. The transcript has 3 exons. NCBI's taxonomy places the organism in Eukaryota, Metazoa, Priapulida, Priapulimorpha, Priapulimorphida, Priapulidae. The record is from RefSeq and is a predicted model, not a curated record.